GAUGAAGAACGCAGCGAAAUGCGAUAAGUAAUGCGAAUUGCAGAAUCCGUGAAUCAUCGAAUCUUUGAACGCACAUUGCGCCCGCCAGCAUUCUGGCGGGCAUGCCUGUUCGAGCGUCAUUUCAACCCUCGAGCCCCCCCGGGGGCCUCGGUGUUGGGGGACGGCACACCAGCCGCCCCCGAAAUGCAGUGGCGACCCCGCCGCAGCCUCCCCUGCGUAGUAGCACACACCUCGCACCGGAGCGCGGAGGCGGUCACGCCGUAAAACGCCCAACUUUCUUAGAGUUGACCUCGGAUCAGGUAGGAAUACCCGCUGAACUUAAGCAUAUCAAUAAGCGGAGGA
Molecule: unclassified non-coding RNA, 342 nt
Filed under: soil metagenome
Description: partial contains 5.8S ribosomal RNA, internal transcribed spacer 2, and large subunit ribosomal RNA
Rfam family: 5.8S ribosomal RNA (bases 1-119)
Source: RNAcentral